UUUAUAAUCAUGCAUUUAGAGGCACUUAUACAAACAUGUCAGAUGCACAAAGAAGAGUUGAAGACACUUUUUUUAAGAGAUAGACCUUUACUACGGUACUGAAUGCUAAGGAAACCAACCAAAGACAGGUUGAGUGCUGCUGAGAUAAAAACUUUUAAAGGAAGACUCGGCAACCCUCGACCUCAUCGUACUCUAAAAACCAGGGGGUUGACAGAAGAGAGCAAUAAUAAGUGACUAGAUCUGAAAAAACCUUCUGGAGACAUCCUCUGGAUUGCUUGCAGUUACGAAGAGGAAUGUCCCGGUUUGCUGGGCAUUGGAGAG
Halichondria panicea is the source of this 321-nucleotide long non-coding RNA. RefSeq lists it as uncharacterized. Lineage: Eukaryota; Metazoa; Porifera; Demospongiae; Suberitida; Halichondriidae. The record is from RefSeq and is a predicted model, not a curated record. The transcript is spliced from 5 exons.